Molecule: ribosomal RNA, 527 nt
Filed under: uncultured Endozoicomonas sp.
Lineage: Bacteria; Pseudomonadati; Pseudomonadota; Gammaproteobacteria; Oceanospirillales; Endozoicomonadaceae
Description: bacterial SSU rRNA
Rfam family: Bacterial small subunit ribosomal RNA
Source: RNAcentral
AGAGUUUGAUCCUGGCUCAGAUUGAACGCUGGCGGCAGGCCUAACACAUGCAAGUCGAGCGGUAACAGGGAUAGCUUGCUAUCUGCUGACGAGCGGCGGACGGGUGCGUAACACGUAGGAAUCUACCCAGUAACGGGGGAUAGCCCGGGGAAAUCCGGAUUAAUACCGCAUACGCCCUACGGGGGAAAGCAGGGGAAUCUUCGGGUCCUUGCACUAUUGGAUGAGCCUGCGUCGGAUUAGCUAGUUGGUGGGGUAAAGGCCUACCAAGGCGACGAUCCGUAGCUGGUCUGAGAGGAUGAUCAGCCACACUGGGACUGAGACACGGCCCAGACUCCUACGGGAGGCAGCAGUGGGGAAUAUUGCACAAUGGGCGCAAGCCUGAUGCAGCCAUGCCGCGUGUGUGAAGAAGGCUCUAGGGUUGUAAAGCACUUUCAGCGAGGAGGAAAGGUUGUAAGUUAAUACCUUACAGCUGUGACGUUACUCGCAGAAGAAGCACCGGCUAACUCCGUGCCAGCAGCCGCGGUAAU